UACAGAGGGUGCGAGCGUUAAUCGGAAUUACUGGGCGUAAAGCGCGCGCAGGCGGGUGCGCAAGUCGGAGGUGAAAGCGCGGGGCUCAACCCCGCGACGCCCUUCGAGACUGCGUGUCUAGGGACCGGUAGAGGUGAGUGGAAUUCCCGGUGUAGCGGUGAAAUGUGUAGAGAUCGGGAGGAACACCAGCGGCGAAGGCGGCCUUCUGGACGGUGACUGACACUGAGACGCGAAAGCGUGGGGAGCAAACAGG
RNAcentral lists this ribosomal RNA (253 nucleotides) under uncultured bacterium. RNAcentral describes it as "partial 16S ribosomal RNA". It matches the Rfam family "Bacterial small subunit ribosomal RNA", at positions 524 to 776 of the family's 1533-position model. The record is from RNAcentral.